Molecule: ribosomal RNA, 500 nt
Filed under: uncultured bacterium
Lineage: Bacteria
Description: partial 16S ribosomal RNA
Rfam family: Bacterial small subunit ribosomal RNA
Source: RNAcentral
AUUGAACGCUGGCGGAAUGCUUUACACAUGCAAGUCGAACGGCAGCACGGACUUCGGUCUGGUGGCGAGUGGCGAACGGGUGAGUAAUACAUCGGAACGUGCCCAAUCGUGGGGGAUAACGUAGCGAGAGCUACGCUAAUACCGCACACGAUCUAAGGAUGAAAGCGGGGGAUCGCAAGACCUCGCGCGAAUGGAGCGGCCGAUGGCAGAUUAGGUAGUUGGUAGGGUAAAGGCCUACCAAGCCGACGAUCUGUAGCUGGUCUGAGAGGAUGAUCAGCCACACUGGGACUGAGACACGGCCCAGACUCCUACGGGAGGCAGCAGUGGGGAAUUUUGGACAAUGGACGCAAGUCUGAUCCAGCCAUUCCGCGUGCAGGAUGAAGGCCCUCGGGUUGUAAACUGCUUUUGUACAGAACGAAAAGGCUCUGGUUAAUACCUGGGGCUCAUGACGGUACUGUAAGAAUAAGCACCGGCUAACUACGUGCCAGCCGCCGCGGUAA